AUACGGAGGGUGCAAGCGUUAUUCGGAAUCACUGGGCGUAAAGGACGCGUAGGCGGGUUGGCAAGUCAGAUGUGAAAUCCUACAGCUUAACUGUAGAACUGCAUUUGAAACUGCUAACCUAGAGUAUGGGAGGGGGAGAUGGAAUUAGUGGUGUAGGGGUAAAAUCCGUAGAUAUCACUAGGAAUACCGAAAGCGAAGGCGAUCUUCUGGAACAGUACUGACGCUGAGGCGCGAAAGCGUGGGGAGCAAACAGGAUUAGAAACCCGGGUAGUCC
RNAcentral lists this ribosomal RNA (274 nucleotides) under uncultured bacterium. Its description in RNAcentral is "partial 16S ribosomal RNA". It matches the Rfam family "Bacterial small subunit ribosomal RNA", at positions 523 to 796 of the family's 1533-position model. The record is from RNAcentral.